This 465-nucleotide ribosomal RNA is filed under the name uncultured bacterium. Its description in RNAcentral is "partial 16S ribosomal RNA". It matches the Rfam family "Bacterial small subunit ribosomal RNA", at positions 28 to 507 of the family's 1533-position model. The record is from RNAcentral.
GAUGAACGCUGGCGGCGUGCUUAACACAUGCAAGUCGAACGGAAAGGCUCCUGCUUGCAGGGGUACUCGAGUGGCGAACGGGUGAGUAACACGUGGGUGAUCUGCCCUGCACUUCGGGAUAAGCCUGGGAAACUGGGUCUAAUACCGGAUAGGACGAUGGUUUGGAUGCCAUUGUGGAAAGUUUUUCGGUGUGGGAUGAGCUCGCGGCCUAUCAGCUUGUUGGUGGGGUAAUGGCCUACCAAGGCGUCGACGGGUAGCCGGCCUGAGAGAGUGUACGGCCACAUUGGGACUGAGAUACGGCCCAGACUCCUACGGGAGGCAGCAGUGGGGAAUAUUGCACAAUGGGCGCAAGCCUGAUGCAGCGACGCCGCGUGGGGGAUGACGGCCUUCGGGUUGUAAACUCCUUUCGCUAGGGACGAAGCGCAAGUGACGGUACCUGGAGAAGAAGCACCGGCUAACUACGUG